RNAcentral lists this unclassified non-coding RNA (432 nucleotides) under soil metagenome. Its description in RNAcentral is "partial contains 5.8S ribosomal RNA, internal transcribed spacer 2, and large subunit ribosomal RNA". The stretch from base 1 to 120 matches the Rfam family "5.8S ribosomal RNA", at positions 35 to 154 of the family's 154-position model. The record is from RNAcentral.
GAUGAAGAACGUAGCGAAAUGCGAUACGUAAUGUGAAUUGCAGAAUUCAGUGAAUCAUCGAAUCUUUGAACGCAUAUUGCGCUCUCUGGUAUUCCGGAGAGCAUGCUUGUUUGAGUAUCAGUAAACACCUCAACUUCCAUAUCUUUUUUGAAAUGGGAGUUGGACUUGAGUGAUCCCAACGCUUUUCCUCACCGAAAAGUGGCGGGUUACUUGAAAUGCAGGUGCAGCUGGACUUUUCUCUGAGCUAUAAGCAUAUCUAUUUAGUCUGCCUAAAAAACAGAUUAUUACCUUUGCUGCAGCUAACAUAAAGGAGAUUAGUUCUUGUGCUGACUGAUGCAGGAUUCACAAAGACAGGCUUCGGCCGACUUUGUAAACUCGAUCUCAAAUCAAGUAAGACUACCCGCUGAACUUAAGCAUAUCAAUAAGCGGGGA